RNAcentral lists this transfer RNA (72 nucleotides) under Chloroflexota bacterium. RNAcentral describes it as "Chloroflexi bacterium tRNA-Lys". It matches the Rfam family "tRNA". Rfam says of the family: Transfer RNA (tRNA) molecules are approximately 80 nucleotides in length. Their secondary structure includes four short double-helical elements and three loops (D, anti-codon, and T loops). The record is from RNAcentral. RNAcentral also lists the same sequence under 2 other names. Lineage: Bacteria; Bacillati; Chloroflexota.
GGGCCCGUAGCUCAGUGGCAGAGCAGGGGACUUUUAAUCCUCGUGUCCUGGGUUCGAAUCCCAGCGGGCCCU